GAUGAACGCUGGCGGCGUGCCUAAUACAUGCAAGUCGAGCGAACGGACGAGAAGCUUGCUUUUCUGAUGUUAGCGGCGGACGGGUGAGUAACACGUGGAUAACCUACCUAUAAGACUGGGAUAACUUCGGGAACCCGGAGCUAAUCCCGGAUAAUAUUUUGACCCGCAUGGUUCAAAAGUGAAAGACGGUCUUGCUGUCACUAAUAGAUGGAUCCGCGCUGCAUUAGCUAGUUGGUAAGGUAACGGCUUACCAAGGCAACGAUGCAUAGCCGACCUGAGAGGGUGAUCGGCCACACUGGAACUGAGACACGGUCCAGACUCCUACGGGAGGCAGCAGUAGGGAAUCUUCCGCAAUGGGCGAAAGCCUGACGGAGCAACGCCGCGUGAGUGAUGAAGGUCUUCGGAUCGUAAAACUCUGUUAUUAGGGAAGAACAUAUGUGUAAGUAACUGUGCACAUCUUGACGGUACCUAAUCAGAAAGCCACGGCUAACUACGUG
RNAcentral lists this ribosomal RNA (497 nucleotides) under uncultured bacterium. RNAcentral describes it as "partial 16S ribosomal RNA". It matches the Rfam family "Bacterial small subunit ribosomal RNA", at positions 28 to 507 of the family's 1533-position model. The record is from RNAcentral.